UAUAUCAUUUUGAACUACCUUAAUGAAUAUGCAAGCUUUGGGUCUUGUUUUGCGGUAAGAGGGGCUUCUUUUGGUUUAGGGCAAGAGGAGAAGAAAUAGAAACUAACUCUUCCAGACGAUGACAUAGCGUGCCCAAGAUCGCACACUGUUUCAGUGACAGAGCCAGAUUAAGACUUAAUCUGUGUGACUGCAAAGCUAAUAUUUGGUCCAGUGCAUCAGACUGGAGAGGCUGGGUUAGAGGUCACAGAAAACCAAAGUGAGAGUAGGAGGUAAAUGAGAGCCGAAGCAGGAAGAAGGCAGGAACCUAUUUUGCCUCUUCCCAGAGAAAGGAGCCCAGUCCAGGAGUGCAAGUGAUGUGUGCUCAUCUGCAAACAGGCUCCCGGCCUCACCCCAAGCUGAGGAGCUGUGUGCCUUGGGCUGCCUUGCACAGGGGCUCUCCCAACGUCACUAUGGCUCAUACAAAGGUCCAAGGUAAAACCCAGCAGUCCACCUGACCCCUUUGUUUUGCAUGCUCCGGGACUGGAGAAAAAUCAGUAAGUGACCCUCAAAUGUGAGGCUUCCUCAAGGCUGCAUUUGUCAAGUCAACUGAGAGGUGACUACCCAGAGGAGGCCAGAAUGAGUGUUCCAACAUCCACUGUCAUCACUUGGCAAUGGCAUUCAAAACACUUGGCCUCAUGAAUGAGUAACCCCUGAGGUCAGCCUUCAGAUAAUCGGUUUGCUUUUGGGGACUUUGAGAUUUCUGAGAUGACAGAAGAUAUUUUGUCAGAAAAUUCUUGAAACUUGGGAAGAUUUGUUCAUAAAUGGUUGGCCUGGUU
Molecule: long non-coding RNA, 815 nt
Organism: Herpailurus yagouaroundi (jaguarundi)
Lineage: Eukaryota; Metazoa; Chordata; Mammalia; Carnivora; Felidae
Exons: 2
Source: RefSeq, a predicted model, not a curated record